Molecule: long non-coding RNA, 2639 nt
Filed under: Salvia miltiorrhiza (redroot sage)
Lineage: Eukaryota; Viridiplantae; Streptophyta; Magnoliopsida; Lamiales; Lamiaceae
Description: long non-coding RNA (SMIL_LNC006816)
Source: RNAcentral
UUCAUUCCCAGAUUUACUUAAAUCAAAUUUACUGGGAUUUGGUGGGUGUUAUUUUCUACAAAAUAUUUCAACUAAUAAAGACAAGAUGAAAUUCGGUUGAAAUAAAUAAACAACACUCCCACGACCAAUAAGACAAAAUCCAGAUAAGCAACAUUUAUUUCUUCUACAUUUCGAGAGACUCACUUGCACGUGUGGGCUACGAUUUAGAUUACGGAAUUACCUAGAAAUAACAUAUAUAAAAGAAAUUGAAGGAUUCCCGAGAUCAAAUGAAGUCGAAUCAGCUAGUCAGUGCUUAACUAAUAUGUUUGUUAGCUUUACACAUCAAGAUAAGGUAACAUUUACAGAAAAUAGCAUGCGACUGAAGUCAAGAAAGGAUGUUGCAUCAGAAUAUCAUAAUUCCAAAAGGAAAGCACAUACAACCGAUGAUUCCAUAGACCCUUAGCCAAAUGAGAAUCAGCUACACAAUUUCACUUAGUUCCUCGCUGCAUAUGCCAGGAACCACACAACUGAAUAGAAUCAUGAAUCUUUAAGGACUCUUAACAUUUUGUUUAAGGUCAGCAGCUGUGUCGUGUCAUGACCUCACUGGCCUACUUCUAGAGACUUUUCUUACAAUCACAGCAUAUGAAGGAAAUUUCCUUUGUUCUCGUAUCAUUACCUAGUGCUCUCUGCUUUCCUGCAUUUCAUUUUCUAGAUGCUAAAUUACAAGUUUUUGUCUAGCUGCUAAGGUUGUCAACAUUUUACUUAAGUGUACUUAUGCACACAACCAUAAUCGUUUAAAUGCAAUCAGCAAAGUAUAUUUUGCGAUUCAAACAGAUACCAAAUAAUCAGCCCAUAGCAUAGAUAACCCGAAAUUGCAACUUCAAUAAACUAUCAUGGCUUGCUAGGAAUGAGUUUAGAUCACUUGGAACUAAUAGAUUUUCAGAUGCUUCUUAGAGUUCUUUAUGACCCGGUUCUCUUUCCAUUGUUUUCUCUUCCAUGAGCUUCACUUACACAUAAUUGUUAUGUUCUAAAUAGGGACUAACAGAAAUGCUAAAGCUUAAACUUUCGUCUCAUGUAUCGCCUUUCUCAUCAUGAACAAAGAUACUCAAUUUACCCAACAUGUCCCCAAACAUCAACUCACUUUUUCAUAUCUAGCACCUUCUCUCUUUUUGACUCACAAAUCAAAUUACAUAGUUCAAGUGCAUGAAUAUGCUCUAUAUCAUUACCAACCUCUCUACCGAAGAAGUCACAAACUACCUAAACCAACACAAUCAAAGUCACGCUUCCGGUUAAAGCACUCGAGAUAUAACCUCACUAAGCAAACAUAUAAGCAUAUAACUAUCCUAGGACCCAAGAACGAAGAAGAAAGUAUACUAAAAAACACGUAAUCCUCUCCAAACCGAUAUAUUAUUUGCAUACUGGACGACAAACAGAAACAAAUUUAGAUAUCUAUUUGAUUCAUAUUUUAACAGAAGGAAAAUGAGCCAAAAAUAUUUUUGCCCCAUUAUCAACAACAAAAAUCCCUAAAUUCAAUAUUACCAAAGCCCUUCAUUUCAAAAGGAGCAAGCAUUAGAAUGAGCAUUCAUGUUAAGCAAAAUCAUAAACUUCAAUAAACCAAAGGAUAAAUUCCUUUGCAACUUCAUCACAGCAGAAAGCUAAAAUGUCAAGAAAAACAAGAAUUAAUAAAUAAAUAAAUAGUAAAACUAGGGGUGAUAAAACAGUUCCGGUUAUUCGGUUAUAACCGAAACUGAACCGGAAAACCGGUUAAUUGGUUAACCGAUAACCGAAAGGUUCUAGGAAAAUCGGUUAUUCGGUUUAACCGGUCGGUUACCGGUUAAACCGAAUUAACCGGUUUAGCCAUACUAAUUAUUAAUAAAUUUAGUAUAACAACAAUAUAGCUCAACAACAAUUAAAUUAUAUACGCCAGAACCCCAAUUUUCCAAUUCGAUUCAUAUAUAGCACAACAACAGUAGAAACCCCAAUUUUUCCAAUUUGGGUACAAUCGUCGGAACCAGAUUCCAGAAUAUACAAACUCCAUUCAUAUAUGUAUUUUAUAUAGCUACGUAUCUAAUCAGAUCUGUAUAAUUUCAUACAAAAUCUCAACCCAGUCAAGCAAGAUUGUCUGAGUCGGCGAGAAGCAGAGCAUACCAGGUGAUAGCUGAGGCAGCUUUCGGCAGAGGCGGGGGCAGGGUGGGGCCGCAGGCCGAAGAUGGUAGUGGCUGAAGUUGCGACUCGACCUGGCUGUUCCAGUCGGCGACUGACGCAGCGUGGUGGUGGUACCGCGAGUGAAGGCGCGGUGGCCCGGUGGGAGAGGGAGCGGAGUCGAGGUGCGGCGGCGCUCAGCUCAGGUCGGAAGAGGCGCGGUGACCCGGUGGGAGAGAGAGCGGAGUGGAUGCGCCGAAGAGGAGGCAGGCAUGGUGUGUAUCUGUAAUUCGUGCAAAGUGAAAAGUUGAAAACCCAGCCCUCUUUUUAAUAAACCGGUUCGGACCGGUUAAUCGGUUAACCGAAUCAAAAACCGGUUCGAUUUUCGGUUAGCUAUCUCAGAGUUAAUCGAUUCCGGUUAAUCGAAAAAUCGAUUCGGUUAUAACCGAACUGAACCAAUUACCACCCCUAAGUAAAACAGACAUGCAAUGUAUCGUCUGUUUUGUAGUAAUGCGUGA